GACGAACGCUGGCGGCGUGCUUAACACAUGCAAGUCGAACGGAAAGGCCCUGCUUUUGUGGGGUGCUCGAGUGGCGAACGGGUGAGUAACACGUGAGUAACCUGCCCUUGACUUUGGGAUAACUUCAGGCAACUGGGGCUAAUACCGGAUAGGAGCUCCUGCUGCCUGGUGGGGGUUGGAAAGUUUCGGCGGAUGGGGGUGGACUCGCGGCUUAUCAGCUGGUUGGUGGGGUAGUGGCUUACCAAGGCUUUGACGGGUAGCCGGCCUGGGAGGGUGACCGGCCACAGAGGGACUGGGAUACGGCCCAGACUCCUACGGGAGGCAGCAGUGGGGAAUAUAGCACAAUGAGCGGAGUCCGGAAGCAGCAACGCCGCGUGCGGGAGGACUUCCAUCGGGUUGGAAACCGCGUUCGCCUGUGACGAAGCGUGAGUGACGGUAAUGGGUAAAGAAGCACCGGCUAACUACGUG
This 468-nucleotide ribosomal RNA is filed under the name uncultured bacterium. Its description in RNAcentral is "partial 16S ribosomal RNA". It matches the Rfam family "Bacterial small subunit ribosomal RNA", at positions 28 to 507 of the family's 1533-position model. The record is from RNAcentral.